This 44-nucleotide non-coding RNA is filed under the name Plasmodium falciparum 3D7. Lineage: Eukaryota; Apicomplexa; Aconoidasida; Haemosporida; Plasmodiidae. The record is from RNAcentral.
UCUUCUCGUCUGGUAGGUGGCGCUUUAUACUUACGAAACCCUGU